AUUGAGUCAAUAUAGCACUUUAUAUUUCAAUAUGUCAGCAAAAUGAAAAAAGUUUCAAGUGAUCAGGAAAGGAUGACAACUGAUGCAGACUGACUGUCAAGGCAUGACAUUAUUUUUUCCCGUAUUUGUUACGCGGCAGAAUAAUUACCCUUUUUACCUGAGCUGAGACUAUCAGCACUUUCGCUACAGCGCAAAACAAGACCGUACGAAGGUACAUCAACCAUGUCGGUUGAUCCUAGUUUUUCCUUCAUUUAUAUGCAAAAACUGAAGGAUUCACACGAUUGUUGAAUGUGCUUUACAGCGCCACAACUAUUAAAGGGAAGCUAUUCAAGUCACGCCUCCUGUGUGGUUAUUAUAACAA
Strongylocentrotus purpuratus (purple sea urchin) is the source of this 361-nucleotide long non-coding RNA. RefSeq lists it as uncharacterized. The transcript is spliced from 2 exons. The record is from RefSeq and is a predicted model, not a curated record. Lineage: Eukaryota; Metazoa; Echinodermata; Echinoidea; Camarodonta; Strongylocentrotidae.